UACAGAGGUCCCAAGCGUUGUUCGGAUUCACUGGGCGUAAAGGGUGCGUAGGUGGUCGGGUAAGUCUGAUGUGAAGUCUCUGGGCUCAACCCAGAAAUGGCAUUGGAUACUAUUCGGCUAGAGGAGUGGAGGGGGGACUGGAAUACUUGGUGUAGCAGUGAAAUGCGUAGAUAUCAAGCGGAACACCGGUGGCGAAGGCGGCCUUCUGGACAGUGACUGACGCUGAGACGCGAAAGCGUGGGGAGCAAACAGG
This 253-nucleotide ribosomal RNA is filed under the name uncultured bacterium. Its description in RNAcentral is "partial 16S ribosomal RNA". It matches the Rfam family "Bacterial small subunit ribosomal RNA", at positions 524 to 776 of the family's 1533-position model. The record is from RNAcentral.